This 136-nucleotide ribosomal RNA is filed under the name uncultured bacterium. RNAcentral describes it as "partial 16S ribosomal RNA". It matches the Rfam family "Bacterial small subunit ribosomal RNA", at positions 355 to 506 of the family's 1533-position model. The record is from RNAcentral.
UGGGGAAUAUUGCACAAUGGGGGGAAACCCUGAUGCAGCGACGCCGCGUGAAGGAAGAAGUAUCUCGGUAUGUAAACUUCUAUCAGCGAGGGAAGAAGUGACGGUACCUGACUAAGAACGCCCCGGCUAACUACGU